UUGCACCUUAUCUUAGGCGGCGGCCUUUUGAGUAAUGCUUAGGAAUCUGCCUAUUAGUGGGGGACACCCUUCCAAAAGGAAUGCUAAUACCGCAUACGUCCUACGGGAGAAAGCAGGGGAUCUUCGGACCUUGCGCUAAUAGAUGAGCCUAAGUCGGAUUAGCUAGUUGGUGGGGUAAAGGCCUACCAAGGCGACGAUCUGUAGCGGGUCUGAGAGGAUGAUCCGCCACACUGGGACUGAGACACGGCCCAGACUCCUACGGGAGGCAGCAGUGGGGAAUAUUGGACAAUGGGGGGAACCCUGAUCCAGCCAUGCCGCGUGUGUGAAGAAGGCCUUAUGGUUGUAAAGCACUUUAAGCGAGGAGGAGGCUACUGAGAUUAAUACUCUUGGAUAGUGGACGUUACUCGCAGAAUAAGCACCGGCUAACUCUGUGCCAGCAGCCGCGGUAAUACAGAGGGUGCGAGCGUUAAUCGGAUUUACUGGGCGUAAAGCGUGCGUAGGCGGCUUUUUAAGUCGGAUGUGAAAUCCCCGAGCUUAACUUGGGAAUUGCAUUCGAUACUGGGAAGCUAGAGUAUGGGAGAGGAUGGUAGAAUUCCAGGUGUAGCGGUGAAAUGCGUAGAGAUCUGGAGGAAUACCGAUGGCGAAGGCAGCCAUCUGGCCUAAUACUGACGCUGAGGUACGAAAGCAUGGGGAGGAAACAGGAUUAGAUACCCUGGUAGUCCAUGCCGUAAUUUAAGGGGACUAGCCGUUGGGGCCUUUGAGGC
This 764-nucleotide ribosomal RNA is filed under the name Bacillus cereus. RNAcentral's name for it is "bacterial SSU rRNA". It matches the Rfam family "Bacterial small subunit ribosomal RNA", at positions 79 to 838 of the family's 1533-position model. Lineage: Bacteria; Bacillati; Bacillota; Bacilli; Caryophanales; Bacillaceae. RNAcentral also lists the same sequence under 1 other name. The record is from RNAcentral.